UUCUGGCUCAGGAUGAACGCUAGCGGCAGGCUUAACACAUGCAAGUCGAGGGGCAACGCGAGUAGCAAUACUUGGCGGCGACCGGCGCAAGGGUGCGUAACGCGUGAGCAACAUGCCCGUAUCAGGGGGGAUAAUCCAGGGAAACUUGGUCUAAUACCCCAUAGUAAUUUUGUAAGGCAUCUUAUAAGAUUUAAAGCUUUGGUGGAUACGGAUUGGCUCGCGUGACAUUAGCUGGAUGGUAAGGUAACGGCUUACCAUGGCUAUGAUGUCUAGGGGUUCUGAGAGGAAGGUCCCCCACACUGGAACUGAGACACGGUCCAGACUCCUACGGGAGGCAGCAGUGAGGAAUAUUGGACAAUGGAUGGAAAUCUGAUCCAGCCAUGCCGCGUGAAGGAAGAAGGUCCUAUGGAUUGUAAACUUCUUUUGUAUGGGAGCAAUAAGGCCUACGAGUAGGUUGAUGAGAGUACCAUACGAAUAAGCACCGGCUAACUCCGUGCCAGCCGCCGC
RNAcentral lists this ribosomal RNA (507 nucleotides) under uncultured bacterium. RNAcentral describes it as "bacterial SSU rRNA". It matches the Rfam family "Bacterial small subunit ribosomal RNA", at positions 17 to 518 of the family's 1533-position model. The record is from RNAcentral.